UACGUAGGGUGCGAGCGUUGUCCGGAAUUAUUGGGCGUAAAGAGCUCGUAGGCGGCUCAGUAAGUCAGGUGUGAAAACUCCAGGCUCAACCUGGAGACGCCACCUGAUACUGCUGUGGCUAGAGUCCGGUAGGGGAGCAUGGAAUUCCUGGUGUAGCGGUGAAAUGCGCAGAUAUCAGGAGGAACACCAGUGGCGAAGGCGGUGCUCUGGGCCGGAACUGACGCUGAGGAGCGAAAGCGUGGGGAGCAAACAGG
This 254-nucleotide ribosomal RNA is filed under the name uncultured bacterium. RNAcentral's name for it is "partial 16S ribosomal RNA". It matches the Rfam family "Bacterial small subunit ribosomal RNA", at positions 524 to 776 of the family's 1533-position model. The record is from RNAcentral.